Molecule: long non-coding RNA, 3315 nt
Organism: Frieseomelitta varia
Lineage: Eukaryota; Metazoa; Arthropoda; Insecta; Hymenoptera; Apidae
Exons: 7
Source: RefSeq, a predicted model, not a curated record
CGCUGUAGUACGAGUCCGCCUUCUCUUCGCCGGCGCCAAAGUCCGGCUCCAAGUCCGAGCGGGACGAGGAACUUGCCGACUCAAUGUUCACAAAUAACGAGGUAACUGCAGCUCAAGUAAACUGGAAGACUUUAACUGGCACGAGUUGGAGAAAAAGGGGAAAAUUUUUGAUGGAAAAGUGUCGAUGCGACUGUUCUCAAGAAAGAAAGAAGCGAACAGAACGAGCGAGAACGUGGCGUUCAGAGGAAGAGAGGGCCGUGAGAGGGCUGUGCCACGAAGGUGCAACUCCGACAGUGUUCGAUGGACAACUGGAGGCGGGGUGUAUGCUGCCUCAUUGGACUGGAGAACCAGCCCCCUGGCUGCAACAUCCCCUACCCUCCCCCUCCGCUUUCCAGGAGAGCCAUCGUGUCUCAAGGCCAAACAGCCACCCUCUAGUACUAGAGAGAGCUUGUCUAUAGCUCGCCAAAUCGCUCGCCAGCUAUAACACACUGGAUUCGCCGCGCGUUGGAAUUUUUCAAAAUUUCCUUUCACCCUCCGAUGAAAAAUGAUCACUUCACGCCAACUUUCUCGAUCGAAGGCCAACUCUCCGAUCGUUUUCAAGCAAGCUAGUGGUUAGCUUAAUUUUCCAUUCGAGAAGAUUACGAAAUUUUUACGUCGCUCUACCGUAUGCAUAGUUUUAUCCGUAUCGCGUAUCGGCCUAAAGGUAAUAUACCCAAAGUACAGCCCCGACGUAAUUCUUCGACGGCACGAUGGUUAAAUCACGAUGGACGGGGUGAGAGAUUUCAUGUUUUAAAUGGAAGCUUGACGGACACCUGUUAAUAAGGAUACACGCUCGCAAAUGAGGGCUCGCGAUAGGAAACGAGGUUGAAAGCAUUCCUUGGAAUUAAGCACGAAGCCCACGCCCUGACGUGGAGCAAGGUCCAGAAUGGGGAGAGAAAAAAAAAAAAGGAGUAGCAUUGUGUCGGGGCCAAUUAUCUUGGUUGACUAAAUAAGGUCAAUAUUCAAAGUGAGCUAGAGAGGCGAGGGGAGGAGUAGGAGGAAGAAGAAGAAAAUGAAGAAAAAAAGAACGUUAACGACGCUAACAGUCUAAUAAACCGACUUAUGAAUUCGAGACACGCACGCUGCCUGCCGGCAGAAUGCCAGAGAUUCGAUGACCUUGCAAUCGAAUAUACAUCGUUGUACUGGAGAUGUUUCCAAAUUUGUCAAGCCAACGAAAAUUUCACAAAACUCCGCAACUGUGCGUCAUUGCAAGGUAUUUCGCCUCGCGUUAAAUCGUUUUCCAACGACAAUUGUAGAAACAGGUAACCCAGGUGAAAUUCAUCAUCGAAAAAGAUAAGAGCUCGAUCGACCAAUAGUUGAAUUCUACGUUCAUCCUCGUGCAGUUACAAUGCAAUGCCAGCUUUGAUGGGAUUGGUAUGAUAAUGGAAGCAUAGAUUAACACAGGGUGAAGGUCAAAGCGACCCUCUCAUUCCCUCGCACAGCGUUCGAGACCGGUGCAACCCUUCCGGGUUUUUCAACGAAGAGGGUUUUGCACGCCGAGAAAAAGACGUAUGCACUUGUUCAAAGACGUCACAUCGCGGGCGAUCGAAGACAGUUCAAGUUUAAAUUACUCUUGCAGAGAUAUAACAAGUACUCACGGCGACGUAACUGAUUGCGAGUGAGAGACGUUUAAUGGACUCGGGACACGGGAGCUUUGCAGGCAGAGGAACAUCUGGACAGUGGGAAAAGUAUGCGGUGUUUUUCUUGCACUUUGUGAGAACUGGCAGCGAUAGCUUGAAUCGAGAAGGAUCGAUUGGAAGUGGGUGGAUCCCGAGGAAAUGCAUUUCUACAAUGGAAUGGCUAAUUGCGUUGCGAUUGAACCACGUGUAACAAUAGUACAAUUUAUGUAAGUUUCCACUACAGUGUAACAAACGCCACAUGAAUUUCAGCGCCAGCAAUGAAAUCUCUCACGUGCUGGACUCUUAACGAGCUUCAUGAAUUCCUGUCCAAGGCCUCUUUAUUAUUACUAUUUGGAAGGCCUGUCGUUCCAAGUGCAAGCAGCUGCAUGUGUAACUAUGUGGUUCUGCAAGAGGAGAGAGAUGGUUCCUUGCAUCACCAUCGAAGCUUUCGUUCACGACUCAACUUUGUUUCCACGAUCUGAUCAACACCGAACGAAGAGAUCUACAAUCUCUCUCUCUCAAUCGGAAUGAUCACGAACGGUCUCGUAAGGUCCGUUGCUUGCAAAAGUGUCUAUUAAUAAAUCGUUGGACUAAAAAUACAGCCUUUCAUCGACAUCGUGGAAAGCACAACGUCGUAGAAAGAUCUUAAUCCUGGUAAUUACAAGUGUUUGCCGCUAACAUUGAAACGAAAGUUCACAUAAAUAUUGCGUGCUCCGGCUUUCGAACAGCUACGUCGAACUCGACUCGGAGUGGAAUUGAAACGAUUACGACAUACAGGGUGGAUAGAAAGAAGGAGUUCGUAACUUACAAAAUAGAUAAACAUGUAUGGGCGAACAUUCUUCAACGUCGAAUAAAUAUUAUUUCGAUCGCUGGAGGAAAAAAGAACGAACGUGGCUCGAAGUGGAAGGAAAAACGAAAGAAAGAAACAGGAGUCCAUUCACGAGGGAGUUCUAGCUGGUUCGCAUCAUAAUUUACGACGCCGUUCCCAUAAAUUACGAUUCGCGAGCAUGUGUGAGUCGCUACAUACGUUUGUCUGCAAGGCCAAGGCCACGGUGCAACAAUCUUCCAGCUGUUGGGUACGCGAUGCCGAUCGAAUGGAAGGUGCAAACGAAAGUACGCGUGGGUGCACCUCCUCUGGGUUCACCAUGGGUGCUACAACCCUUAACCUUUUCACGCAUUUAACCGGUCGUCUACCCCCCUCGUUUGUUGAUUCAUCUUCCUUGGCACGGUGUGCGAGAACAAACUUUCUCGAUGCAUCAUCGUUUAGUGGCUGCCCGUUGUCCCGCCAGUUUCAGCGAAAAUGAAAUCUAGCACUUUCCAACUGCCCAUGGACUGUACUACCAGGAUUCUGAUAAGAAUAUCAGCCACCAAAGGGGUUCAGACUUCAGUGGUCUCGCUUCUCCAAAUCGAAACGUUGCUCUCACAACACACAACAGGGUGAAUAUCCGUGUUGGCCGUUUACCUUGAUGAUAAGAGAGCGGAGACCGUCGAAAGGUCGCCUCACUGUACUUCAACCCUUAACCUUUUGACCAACCAGCCAGGUCAUUGGCUAGAAAUUAUCAUUUGCAACGCCGAGCCGAUCAGAACAACGACUAUCAUUCGGACGAAGAGGAACGUAGAUUAGAAAGCUAUUUAUUUUAUAUACAUAUAUACAUAU